GCUUCGCUUGGAUGUCAAAUGAUAACUUGACGAAAGUGAGUUUCGUCAAGUGAGAAUGAGCACGGUAGGAAAUGAUGAGUAGCGGGUGAGUUGCCACUCGCGUGAGUGGCAAUCAUAGAAAAAUUAUAAAUAGGGCAACAUAAUGAAUACACUUUCUCUUGCACUUUGGAAAUUCAACACACAGCGGUAAAUAUUCAGCCCACGCAAAAUCAUCCGAAACAUACGCGAUUGUUCAUGGUGCCGUGACCAGGAUUGUGCGAAUAUCUGGUUUUUAAAUCGCAAGUUUCGAUAAUUGCAUCGGGGUUUCGUUUUACCGCUUGUGCCACACACUUUUUGGAUUGCCGCAAACUUACAGCUGAUUUUGCCGCAUCACGCAAGUCACUGUAAUCGCAAACACCCACAUCCACUAACAUAAUGGCCACACCGCCCGUUGUUUUGGCGUCCCGGCGGACUGUUUUAUUGGGAAUUCUCUCGCGAUACGAGAAAUUCAUUAAGGAUUUCGUCCCUGAACGGGAUCAAGUAGAGGUGGAAAUACGCGUUAAAAGGUUCGAUAAGCUGUGUGCGGAUUUGGAAGCUGUGCAGCAACAAUUGGAAGAUUCUGCCGACACUCCGGAAGAAGUGUCGCAAAAUGCUACACUCAGAGAAAGUUUUGAGGAUAGAUUAAUUCUUGUGCAAUCCCAGCUGCAAGCAAGGUUACCAAAAGAGCAGUUUCAAAAUGCCCAAUCGAGUACCGGAGCGAAUCCGUUAAAGGGCAUCAAACUUCCUACCAUUGCGCUGCCUGAAUUCACGGGGGACUAUAUGCAAUGGUUGACAUUCCGCGAUACGUUUGAGUGCUUAAUUCAUAAUAAUAUGGAUUUACCGGCCAUUCAAAAAUUUCACUAUUUGCGCGCCGCGGUUAAAGGAGAAGCUGCUCAAGUGAUAGAAUCAAUCACCAUAAGCGCAGCUAAUUAUGAUUUAGCAUGGAACACUCUAACGGAGCGAUACUCGAAUGAAUACCUCCUGAAAAAACGCCAUUUGCAAGCAAUGUUUGCCAUCCCAGCUGUACAGAAGGAAAGCGUUGCAACAUUGCACCACCUUGUAGAUGAAUUUGAGAGACACACAAAGAUUUUGCAACACUUAGGAGAAGAAACAAAUACAUGGGGUAGCAUUCUCGAGCAUUUGCUAUGCACUAAACUUCCGAUAAUUACUUUACGCGAUUGGGAGGAGCAAGCCUCAAGCAAUAACGAUCCCAGUUACGACAGUUUGAUUUCGUUCUUGCACCGUCGUAUGCGUGUAUUGGAGACGUUGCUUGUCAACAACUGUCAUACGUCUCAGGGUAACGACCUAGCUCCCGUACGGAGAAUGACCGUUCUUCGCCAAGCCAGUUUUGCUUCCACAUCGCAUGAAAUGCCGAAUUGCAUGCUAUGCAACUCCGCGCACAACCUUCUGAAAUGUCCGCGUUUCGAGCGGAUGGACCCGAAGGAACGCCAUCGGUUUGCUAUGACCUCGCGUUUGUGCUUAAAUUGUUUACGCGAUAAUCAUAUGGCUCGAGAUUGUCCAUCACAGUACAAAUGCCGUUACUGUAAUGCCGCACACCACACAAAAUUGCACUACGCACAUAACAGCCAAGCUUCCACUACACCACAGCAUCACGCUCACCAUAACCCAAAUUUCACUGCACCUCAGCAACACACACACAACACCACUAGCGAUCACACAGCCACAAACAAUACACAACGCACAUUUGCAGCAGCAUUGCAGCAUGCACCCGAACAAGUCAUACUGCAAACUGCUAUGAUAAAUAUCAUAGACGAUUUCGGAAUAGCACAUCCUGCGCGGGCGCUGUUGGACAGCGCAUCGCAACCGAAUCUAAUAAGCGAUCGACUCGCUCAUCGCUUACGGCUGAAGAAAAGUAAUGUGAACAUUACCGUCAUUGGAGCAGGACAAGCUACAAAGACAGUACGGGAGUCCGUACAGGCACAGAUUGUCUCUCGAUCCAGUUCGUUCACUGUGAACACUGAGUUGUUGAUUGUUGACAAUUUGAUUGCAAAUCUACCAACGCGCGACAUAGACAUCAGCGAUUGGAAGAUACCACCUGGUUUCGCUUUAGCAGACCCUCUGUUCAACAAAGCUGCUCCUGUAGACCUCAUUCUUGGUGCUCGUCAUUACCACACUUUCUUUGAGAAUGCAACUCAGUUCCGUCCUGCACCUCAUCAGCCCGUGAUGAUAGACAGCGUUUUCGGCUGGGUAAUGACUGGUCCAACUGGCAGUGACAAUUCUUCACCUAAAACCGAUCCCACCGCAUCAUAUACAAUCGUCUGUAUGGCAUCCUUGGAGGAUUCGUUACAAAGAUUUUGGCAAUUAGAAAAUUUAACCAUGAAUGAUGGAUACUCACCAGACGAACGACAUUGUGAAUCGUUCUAUAAGCAUACCACCAAACGUGACGAUAGUGGUAGAUAUAUUGUUCGCCUACCGAAACAGCCCGACUUUGAUGCAAAGCUCGGCCUUUCUAGACCUCAGGCCAUUCGUCGUUUUGAGCUUCUCGAGCGGAGAUUGGAACGAGAUCCAGCACUUCGAGAAGCGUACCAAGACUUUAUGAAGGAGUACUUAGCACUGGGUCACAUGUCUCCUAUAAGCACUGAUUGUGAUGAUACAGCUGCUUAUUAUUUACCACACCAUCCAGUUUUUAAAGCGUCAAGUACCACCACAAAGGUCAGAGUAGUUUUUGAUGGCUCGGCUAAAACGUCAACUGGCUUUUCGCUGAAUGAAACUCUGCGGGUUGGACCCAUAGUUCAGGAUGAACUCAUCGAUAUUAUUUUGCGUUUCCGCACCUAUAAGAUUGCUGUCGUAGCUGAUAUCGCCAAAAUGUAUCGACAAAUUGUGCUGCAUCCGGAUGAUCGACGAUUGGUUCGCAUUUUCUUCCGUUUCUCACCGCAAUCGCCGAUUGAAUUGUACGAGCUGAAUACUGUGACAUAUGGUUUGUCUCCAUCAUCGUUCUUGGCCACUCGUACAUUGCUGCAGCUUGCGGAAGAUGAAGGUGCUGACUUUCCACUAGCUUCACCCGCACUGAGACACAAUUUUUAUGUAGACGACUUCAUUGGCGGAGCUAACAGCGUGAGUGAAGCUCGCGAGCUUCGUCAGCAACUUUCCGAGUUACUCUCCAAGGGCGGGUUUGAACUCCGGAAGUGGACAUCCAACUGUUUAGGCGUACUAAGUGGUUUACCAGCAGAGCAUAUCGGUACACAGUCAUCACUGCAGUUUGUGCCGAACGAGACUGUGAAGGCACUUGGUAUCGCAUGGAAGCCCGAACUAGAUGUUUUGUGCUUUGAGUCGACUGCAAUAAUGGAAACCGCCAACCUCACCAUGCGAUCCAUAUUGUCAAACAUUGCUCGAAUGUUUGAUCCACUUGGAUUGAUCGCUCCAGUCAUCAUACGCGCGAAAUUGCUAAUGCAGGAGUUGUGGCUGCAGAAAAUCGGAUGGGACGAUCCGGUCCCUGUACACAUCUGUAACAAAUGGAAAUCGGUUACUGACGACUGGAAGGAUUUGGAAAGCUUCAAAAGCGAACGGUAUGUGCUCUUACCUAACUCUAAAAUACAGUUCCAUACAUUUGCAGACGCGUCAGAAGUUGCUUAUGGUGCCUGCAUUUAUGCGCGCUGUGAGGACCAGCAGGGACGAGUACGAGUCAGCCUGCUCGCGUCGAAAUCGCGUGUAGCUCCACUAAAACGAGUUACAUUACCAAGAUUGGAGCUCUGCGCGGCCGUGUUAGGAGCACAUCUUCAUCAUCGUGUUAGACGCGCUAUGGGAAUCGACACAACCGAAUCGUUUUUCUGGUCGGAUUCGACGGUAACGCUAAACUGGAUAGCGUCUCCACCCAACACCUGGAAAACAUUCGUGGCGAAUCGUGUUGCUGAGAUCCAGAACUAUUCGCACCCUCGUCAAUGGAAACACAUUCCCGGUUCAUCGAAUCCCGCCGAUCUGGUGUCUCGAGGGAUGUCAGCAGCUGAAAUGCUAAAAGGAUCGAUUUGGAGCUGUGGUCCUGAAUGGUUGGCGCUAUCCCCCUCCAAAUGGCCAAUGUCAAAUCCAUCACUGACUGCUGAAACGGAUAUGGAAAUUCGUCAGGUGAGUGCUGUAGUUGCAAGUAUACAAACCACUCACCAUUGGUUCAAUUUGUCGUCGUCCUACACCAAAUUGGUACAUAUAAUUGCAUACUGCACACGUUUCAUACACAACACAAAACACAAGACACGUACACUACAGUCAUCACAAGUUACCUCAGCAGCAUUACCGAUCACCCCUGAGGCUAUAGAAGCAGCUAAAAUCGUGCUUUGUAAACUGGCACAAGAGCACGAGUUUUCAUCAGAGAUCCAACUGCUGAAAAAGGGAGAAAUGGUACGAAAACAAUCACCUCUACGGCGAUUGAAUCCGUUUCUCGACAACGAUGGAAUAUUACGAGUAGGAGGCCGCUUGAAACUUGCACAGCUACCGUACCAGUUCAAGCAUCCCAUCCUGCUUCCCAAAAACCAUCAGCUGGCUCAUCUCAUCGCGGUGCACAUACAUGAGAAGCUGAUGCAUGGCGGGGGAAGACUACUACUUUCCCGGAUACGUGAGGAAUAUUGGCCACUCGAUGGACGUCGGCUAGUAAAAAACGUAGUGAGGAAUUGCUUUCGUUGCAUUCGUCAGGAUCCGCAGCUGACACAACAACAAACUGGUCAACUCCCGUAUGAACGCAUCACCCCGAGCCGGCCGUUUUCCAUAACUGGAGUGGAUUAUGCCGGCCCGCUGUAUCUGAAACCCGCACACAAGAGAGCCGCUGCCGCUAAAUGCUACUUGUGUGUGUUUGUGUGUUUUUCAACGAAGGCAGUGCAUUUGGAGCUGGUGGGCGAUCUCUCCACGGCAGGCUUCUUGGCCGCAUUACAUCGCUUCACAUCCCGGCGAGGAUUACCAUCGGACAUAUACUCCGAUAACGGAAAAAACUUUGAAGGUGCGGCACACGAACUUAAUGAAUUGUUUGAUAUGUUACAGAACGAACAGCACCAAAACGUCAUCGCAUCCAACUGUUCGGACAGGGGCAUAACUUGGCACUUUACCCCACCUAAGGCCCCACAUUUUGGUGGAUUGUGGGAAGCAGCGGUUAAGACGGCCAAACGACAUCUCUACAGGCAGCUAGGCAGUUCGAGGCUGUCUUACGAGGGAUACAGCACCAUUCUGCAGCAAAUAGAAGCGGCAAUGAACUCGCGUCCUUUGUUGCCAAUGACGGAUGACCCCAAUGAUUUGGCAGCGCUUACGCCGGCGCACUUCCUGAUCGGUUCUUCUAUGCAUGCUGUCCCGGUUCCCGACUACACACGACUGAAACCAUACACGUUAGACGAAUUGCAGAGCUGGCAAUUGCUUGUGCAACGCUUUUGGAAGCAUUGGACAACCGAAUAUCUGCAGGAAAUGCAGAAGGAUAAUAAGGUAGUGAAUCGUAGCGAAAUAGUACCUGGCAGACUGGUCAUCCUUGCGGACGAUUCGCUCCCUAUCACCCGAUGGCCACUUGCUCGCAUCAUCGAUGUACACCCAGGAGAAGAUCAGCUUACGCGUGUAGUGAAGUUGAAAACGGCAAAAGGAAUAGUUACGCGUCCAGUAGCUAAAAUUUGCUUGUUGCCUGUUGCGAAGCCUUCCGAUUAGCAGCACGUGUAGUUUGUUUUUGUUCAUGACAUUCUGUCAUGGGGGGGAGUAUGUUGACGCUUCGCUUGGAUGUCAAAUGAUAACUUGACGAAAGUGAGUUUCGUCAAGUGAGAAUGAGCACGGUAGGAAAUGAUGAGUAGCGGGUGAGUUGCCACUCGCGUGAGUGGCAAUCAUAGAAAAAUUAUAAAUAGGGCAACAUAAUGAAUACACUUUCUCUUGCACUUUGGAAAUUCAACACACAGCGGUAAAUAUUCAGCCCACGCAAAAUCAUCCGAAACAUACGCGAUUGUUCAGAUCAACACAGUUUGUGAAGCAACUACGUUACUAGCA
Anopheles merus is the source of this 5976-nucleotide RNA transcript. RefSeq lists it as uncharacterized. The transcript is spliced from 2 exons. The record is from RefSeq and is a predicted model, not a curated record. NCBI's taxonomy places the organism in Eukaryota, Metazoa, Arthropoda, Insecta, Diptera, Culicidae.